This 431-nucleotide ribosomal RNA is filed under the name uncultured bacterium. Its description in RNAcentral is "partial 16S ribosomal RNA". It matches the Rfam family "Bacterial small subunit ribosomal RNA", at positions 29 to 507 of the family's 1533-position model. The record is from RNAcentral.
AGCGAACGCUGGCGGCAGGCUUAACACAUGCAAGUCGAGCGCCCCGCAAGGGGAGCGGCAGUCGGGAGAGUAACACGUGGGAACAUACCUUUUGGUUCGGAACAACUGAGGGAAACUUCAGCUAAUACCGGAUAAGCCCUUACGGGGAAAGAUUUAUCGCCGAAAGAUUGGCCCGCGUCUGAUUAGCUAGUUGGUGAGGUAACGGCUCACCAAGGCGACGAUCAGUAGCUGGUCUGAGAGGAUGAUCAGCCUCACUGGGACUGAGACACGGCCCAGACUCCUACGGGAGGCAGCAGUGGGGAAUAUUGGACAAUGGGGGCAACCCUGAUCCAGCCAUGCCGCGUGAGUGAUGAAGGCCUUAGGGUUGUAAAGCUCUUUUGCCCGGGAAGAUAAUGACGGUACCGGGAGAAUAAGCCCCGGCUAACUUCGUG